This 1862-nucleotide long non-coding RNA is filed under the name Capra hircus (goat). RNAcentral's name for it is "lncRNA (ENSCHIG00010000105.1)". The record is from RNAcentral. Lineage: Eukaryota; Metazoa; Chordata; Mammalia; Artiodactyla; Bovidae.
GGCAGGGUGAGGGUUGCUGUGUGUCUUUUCCCUUCCUGUGUCUCCUUUGUCCACCAAAGUAACUCAAAUCCUCUAAGUUAACUACCUAUUGGUAGUAAGAGUGCCUCUAGUUUAUGUUAACCUUUCAACCUCUCAUCUUAGAGUUUGCUUUUUGCUAGUUAAUUCCAUGGGCUUCCCAGGGGGUUCAAUGGUAAAGAAUCCGCCUGCCAGUGCAGGAGCUGUGGGAGACAGGGGUUCGAACCCUGGUUUGGGAAGAUCCCUGGAGUAGGAAAUGGCAACCCACUCCAAUAUUCUUGUCUGGGAAAUCNNNNNNNNNNNNNNNNNNNNGCUAUAGUCCAUGGGGUCACAAAGAGUCAGACAUGACUGAGUGACUGAACAUGCCUAUAGUUAAUUCCUUGCAUACCUGGUUCUCACACACUUGUACACGUGAGGACCUAUGUGUCCUGUUGUGAUCCCCUGCCUAUCAAACACCCACAGGCUGGGCCCACCCAGGUUCCUCUGGAGUGGCUUGGCAACUCAGUGAGUCACGGUCAAGGGGAUGGUGAGGCCCCUGGCUCCACCUCGGUGUUCCAUAACUAGGAAGAGAAAGGGUUUGAUCAGAAGGGAACGAAGAGAAGCAAGAAGCAAAUGUAGUAUAAUGGAUAUGGUGUGCAGCAAGAUAAGGACAUAUUCUCAACAGGAUCCCACAUUGCCUUCAGUCUGCCUUCUCUAACCAUUCCUCAGUUCAGUUCAGUUCAGUCGCUCACUCGUGUCCAAUUCUUUGCGACCCCAUGAAUCGCAGCACGCCAGGCCUCCCNNNNNNNNNNNNNNNNNNNNNNNNNNNNNNNNNNNNNNNNNNNNNNNNNNNNNNUGCCAUCCAGCCAUCUCAUCCUCGGUCAUCCCCUUCUCCUCCUGUCCCCACUCCCUCCCAACAUCAAAGUCUUCUCCAAUGAGUCAACUCUUCGCAUGAGUCUUUCCUUAUAACCUUGACUUUUGAAAAGUACACUAGAGUUAUUAUGGAUAUUGUCUCUCAGUUUGAGUUUAUCUGAUGCUUUCUCUUCGGGGCAAGAUUAACAUAGAAUGAUUCUGUGCCCUUCUCAGUGGACUGCAACCAUCAUGUUGCUGUCUCAUUAUGGUGAUGUUCAUUUUGAUCAGUUGGUUAAUGAGGCCCACUAUAUAUCUCCACUGUAAAUUGACUUUCAGACUGGGAAAAUACCCUGUUUCUCAUCAUAUUUCCACUUGAAUUUUAGCAGACACUGAGGACUUUUGCCAGUAGCAAUUAUUCCUGUGGUUGUUUGCCAAAUGGUGAUUUUCUGUUUCCAUUAUUUCUUCUCCAUUUAUGUAUUGGAAUUCUCCUGUACUGAAGAGCUAUUGCUUCUCUCCUAUUCAUUUAAUUAUUCAGGUAUUCAUUUUUAUCAGUAUGGAUAUAUCCAAAAUAUACAAAGAACUCACACAACUCAAUAUUGAAAAUAAACAACUUGAUUAAAAAAUGGGCAGAGAAUUUAAUUAAACAUUUUAUUUCAAAGAAGACAUACAGAUGGCCAACAGGAAAAGGUGCUCAAUAUCACUAAUCAUCAGAGAAAUGCAAAUCAAACCAAGAAUGAGAUACCACCUCACACUUGUCAGAAUAGCUAUGAUAUAAAAAGGAUAACAAAUAACAAGUAUUGGCAAGGAUGCAGAGAAAAGGGAACUCUUGCGCUCUGUUGGUAGGAAUGUGAAUGGUGCAGCCUCUAUGGAAAAAAGUAUGGAGAAUCCUCAGAAAAUUAAAAAGAGAACUACCAUAUGAUCCAGCAGUUCCACUCCUGGGUAUUAUCAAUAGAAAAUGAAAGCAUCCCUAUGUCCAUUGCAGUAGUAUUACAAUGGUCAAGACAUGCAAGCAGUCU